This is a long non-coding RNA of Haplochromis burtoni (Burton's mouthbrooder), 863 nucleotides long. RefSeq lists it as uncharacterized. The transcript is spliced from 3 exons. Lineage: Eukaryota; Metazoa; Chordata; Actinopteri; Cichliformes; Cichlidae. The record is from RefSeq and is a predicted model, not a curated record.
GGAGUGUGCUGUCAUAUGCUGUGGGAGUGUCUGGUUGGGCGUGGUCCAGUUUCCUGUCAUUUGUCCCUGGGAGUGGAGUUGGCCAGCUCAUCACCUGUUGUCAAUCUCCGGGGCUCCACCUAGAGGGUUUUUAAGCCAGCACGGCCUGCUACUCCUCGCCAGUUCGUCCUGCUACCAUCUGUGAUUCUCCACCCAUCGCACUCACCAGUAGUGCUGUUUUGGUCUUCAUCCUGUUCUCCCAUCAGCUCGGAACCCGAGGAUUAUAUACUCCACUUCUCCUCAGCCUGCCCUUCAGUCUGUAUGCUCCACCUCCUCGGAAUCUGGACCGGACUUUCCACUCUUGACCCUCUCUGGAUUACACCCAUGGCAGCCUUUUCCCUGUCUAAUAACUAGGGUCUCCAAAAGUUCCCGUUAGAAGUCUCCCCGUGCUCUACGCCGGUUUCUCCGCCCACGGAUUUCCUUUAGUUACUGCAUAUGUUUCUGUUAAACCCAGUUCCGUUCACGUUUUGUUCUUUUCAAUAAAUCAUACACAGUUCUAAGCAAAUUGAGUCUGCUCUUGAGUCCACCGCAUUCUCGCUCGUGACAGAACGAACUGGCCACUAAUGGACUCAGCGGACCCAAUUCGCGCCGCCAUUAACAAACAGGGCGCGGUGUUAGGACGGCAUGAACAGACUUUGUCGUCCUUAAUGGACCAGUGUAAUGCUAUCAGUGAAAAACAGGAGGAGUUACUUACCCGGUUGUCAGAAAUCAGGGAGCCUAAUCCGCCCGUUUUCCCUAGUCAGCCGGGACCGUUGCCUGCACCCGCCGUUGCGCGUCCUGAAUCGGCUUAUCGGGGCAUCUCUUCCCCUCCACCGGAGCCUUUU